This 148-nucleotide small RNA is filed under the name Pongo abelii (Sumatran orangutan). RNAcentral describes it as "Metazoan signal recognition particle RNA (ENSPPYG00000036272.1)". The record is from Rfam by way of RNAcentral. Lineage: Eukaryota; Metazoa; Chordata; Mammalia; Primates; Hominidae.
GCUGGGCGUGGUGGCGGGUGCCUGUAGUCCGAGCUACUUGGGAGGCUGAGGCAGGAGAAUUGCUUGAACCCAGGAGGUGGAGGUUGCAGUGAGCUGAGAUCGCGCCACUGCACUCCAGCCUGGGCGACAGAGCAAGACCUUGUCUCAA